This 497-nucleotide ribosomal RNA is filed under the name uncultured bacterium. Its description in RNAcentral is "partial 16S ribosomal RNA". It matches the Rfam family "Bacterial small subunit ribosomal RNA", at positions 28 to 507 of the family's 1533-position model. The record is from RNAcentral.
GAUGAACGCUGGCGGCGUGCCUAAUACAUGCAAGUCGAGCGAACAGACGAGGAGCUUGCUCCUCUGACGUUAGCGGCGGACGGGUGAGUAACACGUGGAUAACCUACCUAUAAGACUGGGAUAACUUCGGGAAACCGGAGCUAAUACCGGAUAACAUGUUGAACCGCAUGGUUCAACAGUGAAAGACGGUUUUGCUGUCACUUAUAGAUGGAUCCGCGUCGCAUUAGCUAGUUGGUAAGGUAACGGCUUACCAAGGCAACGAUGCGUAGCCGACCUGAGAGGGUGAUCGGCCACACAGGAACUGAGACACGGUCCAGACUCCUACGGGAGGCAGCAGUAGGGAAUCUUCCGCAAUGGGCGAAAGCCUGACGGAGCAACGCCGCGUGAGUGAAGAAGGUCUUCGGAUCGUAAAACUCUGUUAUUAGGGAAGAACAAAUGUGUAAGUAACUAUGCACGUCUUGACGGUACCUAAUCAGAAAGCCACGGCUAACUACGUG